CCUACGGGUGGCAGCAGUAGGGAAUUUUCGGCAAUGGGCGCAAGCCUGACCGAGCAACGCCGCGUGAACGAGGAAGGUCUUCGGAUCGUAAAGUUCUGUUGAAGGGGAAAAAGGGCCGAUAGAGGAAAUACUUUCUGAUUGAUAGUACCCUUCGAGGAAGUCACGGCUAACUCCGUGCCAGCAGCCGCGGUAAUACGGAGGGGGCGAGCGUUAAUCGGAAUGAUUGGGCGUAAAGGGCUCGUAGGCGGCCUUGCAAGUCAGGGGGGAAAAGGACGCGGUCAACGUGGUACAGGCCUUGGAAACUGGCGAGCUAGAGAGUAGGAGAGGGCGGUGGAACUCCAGGUGUAGCGGUAAAAUGCGUAGAUAUAUGGAAGAACACCAGUGGCGAAGGCGGCCGCCUGGCCUGUUACUGACGCUGAGGCACGAAAGCGUGGGGAGCAAAUAGGAUUAGAUACCCGUGUAGUC
Molecule: ribosomal RNA, 465 nt
Filed under: uncultured bacterium
Lineage: Bacteria
Description: partial 16S ribosomal RNA
Rfam family: Bacterial small subunit ribosomal RNA
Source: RNAcentral